This 253-nucleotide ribosomal RNA is filed under the name uncultured bacterium. RNAcentral describes it as "partial 16S ribosomal RNA". It matches the Rfam family "Bacterial small subunit ribosomal RNA", at positions 524 to 776 of the family's 1533-position model. The record is from RNAcentral.
UACGAAGAGGGCUAGCGUUGUUCGGAAUCACUGGGCGUAAAGCGCACGCAGGCGGAUCGAUAAGUCGGGGGUGAAAGCCCGGGGCUCAACCUCGGAAUUGCCUUCGAUACUGUCGGUCUCGAGUCCGGGAGAGGUGAGUGGAAUUCCUAGUGUAGAGGUGAAAUUCGUAGAUAUUAGGAAGAACACCAGUGGCGAAGGUGGCUCACGGGCCCGGUACUGACGCCCAGGUGCGAAAGCGUGGGGAGCAAACAGG